UCCCAGGACCCCAGGAUCACAACCUGAGACGAAGGCAGAUGCUCAACCAUGGAGCCGCACAGAUCUUAUCAACAGGACCAUGACCCAAUGAGAAGGUUAUGUCAACUGGCAAGUAUGUCAAUCCCAGCUAUACAUUUGAGGACAAGGGAAAUGAUGACCACAUGCAGAAUGGAUGUAGAACAGACUGCACUGAUGCACUUCCUGACUUGAAGAGGAAAGCAAACACUUUUUAUAGAUGCUGGCAUACCUCUCUCCAGCACAUUCCUAAUGACAUUGCUGAAUGGUGGUGCAUUCUGGACCCUCCUAUGGAACAGAAUCCUGUGGUGGGUAUUCCGGCCUCAUAGUCUGGCCAGCAAGCCUACUUCCCUGAGCCUUUUAAUCCCUUUUUCCACUGUCUGUCUCAGCAACUCGUGCCUUUUUACUUGGCACAAUGUGGUCCAGUACUUUCUAAGAACCAUCUAGCAGCAUGCUACUGCAACCUUAGGAUCCCUGCCAUACCCCAGUUAGAGCUCCCAAGUAAAUAAAUUCUCAUUGAUAAAUGAGAGAGUUUGAUCAAACUCUCAAAAUCUGUUACAAUGGAUAUGCCCCAUAUUCUUGUUAAUACAAGCUAGAUAAUUCUUGCAAUUCCUUUGGGAUCUAAUAUUGACUCUGUAGGGGUAGAGAGUACAGGGCUGUAGGGGCCAAGGGCAGGUAGCCCAAAGAUAGGCUACUUUGGCAUGAACAUUAUUUUGAGUUGAAAGCAAUAAAAACCCAGCAGAUUAAGGAAAAGCUAUUUACCUCCAUCCCUCUCCCCCCAACUGCCUGAUUAUUCCAGGAAGAGAGCUAUUAACAGAGAUUCCUCUUUACUAAGAAACUUCUCUGCAUAACAGGGUGUUUGUUUUCCAAACAUUUCCUUUCAUUUUCCUGCUAAUAUUCUCCCUCCCUUUUGUACCUUUGGACCCUACCCCUCUCCUUAGCUCCUGUGUUAUGUUGCUUCACUGUCCUUGGAAUUUCCAGAUCUGUGUGGA
Molecule: long non-coding RNA, 1007 nt
Organism: Canis lupus familiaris (dog)
Lineage: Eukaryota; Metazoa; Chordata; Mammalia; Carnivora; Canidae
Exons: 3
Source: RefSeq, a predicted model, not a curated record